Molecule: non-coding RNA, 1236 nt
Organism: Anas platyrhynchos (mallard)
Lineage: Eukaryota; Metazoa; Chordata; Aves; Anseriformes; Anatidae
Source: RefSeq, a predicted model, not a curated record
CAUGUAGAAAGGCCUGAUGUCUUCAGAAAGGACAUGCUAAGAUUCAGAAAAAGAGAAUGUACUGUGGAACAAAUUGUCCAGGCAGCUCAUGAUGGUGAACCAGCAAAACUGCACAGCUGUUGGGUGCAUGCAGUGUUGGGUCUGCACCUGCUGUUGGUGGGUCAUACAACUAAAAGGGCACGUUAAGGCACCUAUGCUAUUUCCUGGGAAAACAGAAAUGAAUGUACUUUUAUGAGGGCACCCAGUCUUUGUAAGCCUGCCUAUCUAUGUCUAAUUGCAUAGUUAGAAAAGAUCAAUGCUGCUGGUUUUGUCUCAGGUAUGAAGAUUGAGUUCAGCUGAGAGCAUCAAGGCAAUAAAAUGAGAAAAGCCGAGUCUUGCCUUUUGAAAGCUGGCAAAACAUGGGUGCUGUUUUCUUACUGGAGUGGGUUUGUUUUCCCUAAAAGCAGAAGUAAAUGGAAACAUCCCUAUGGUGAUGUCCUGAACAACAGGUUAUGCUGCCAUUUCUCCUGCUAUUAAAACCCUGUCGUGUGUGUGCCCCGCAGAGCAGAAGCAGUUUGCAAGCUGGCCUGGAGUCUCUUCUCAGCUCAACUGCCUGCAGGUAGUUGGAGCACGUGGAGCCCAUGCUUAACUCUGCAUUUGAUAUGAAAUUUUGAAAAUCCCCCUGCUGAUCUGAGUGAGGACCUCAUCUCUGAGAGGGCUGCCAGUGCCUUGCGCUUGGACUGGACAUCUCCAGUGCUCAGCUGCUGAACAGAAAAGGUUUUGCUGUUUCUGUUUCACAGAAAAUGUUCUGUGAAAUCGAGCAUCUUCCUCCAUUUCCCUGUCUGUAGGGAAAGAAAGAGCUUUACAAAGGAAGGCUGUGCCCUCUCUGCCACAACACUAGAGCUCACCCCAUGGUUCACACGAGAAGUACCAGCACAUAUGAGGGACCUGUACUGUGGUGUUCCUCGCCUCAGAUAAAGAGAAGUCAGCUCUCCUGCCUGGCAGCUGUCCACAGUGGCGUGCAAGUUCAAAUAAAGAGAUGGUUGGCAAGAAAGCAUUUUUACUUUCACGUUGAGGGAAGAUUUCCUGGGAUUUCCCCUUCUUGUUUUGCCUCUGUUGCUACUAUAAAUGUGUAUAUAAUAGUGGAUUUUCCUCCAGGUUGAGUGCAAGAUAUUUUAAUUACCUGCCUUACUUUUAUUUUUCAUUUUGAGCUUGCUUUGCUUCUAUCUCACAAGAAAAAAAAAAAUUCAGAAACUU